Molecule: ribosomal RNA, 253 nt
Filed under: uncultured bacterium
Lineage: Bacteria
Description: partial 16S ribosomal RNA
Rfam family: Bacterial small subunit ribosomal RNA
Source: RNAcentral
UACAGAGGUCCCGAGCGUUGUUCGGAUUCACUGGGCGUAAAGGGUGCGUAGGUGGUUGUGCAAGUCUGAUGUGAAAUCUCCGGGCUUAACCCGGAAAUGGCAUUGGAAACUGCAUGGCUAGAGGGUUGGAGGGGGGACUGGAAUACUUGGUGUAGCAGUGAAAUGCGUAGAUAUCAAGUGGAACACCAGUGGCGAAGGCGAGUCUCUGGACAUUUCCUGACGCUGAGGCACGAAAGCCAGGGGAGCAAACGGG